ACGAACGCUGGCGGCAGGCCUAACACCUGCAAGUCGAGCGAGGACUUCGGUUCUAGCGGCGGACGGGUGAGUAACGCGUGGGAAUGUGCCCUUCUCUACGGAAUAGCCCUGGGAAACUGGGAGUAAUACCGUAUACGCCCUUUUGGGGAAAGAUUUAUCGGAGAAGGAUCAGCCCGCGUUGGAUUAGGUAGUUGGUGGGGUAAUGGCCUACCAAGCCGACGAUCCAUAGCUGGUUUGAGAGGAUGAUCAGCCACACUGGGACUGAGACACGGCCCAGACUCCUACGGGAGGCAGCAGUGGGGAAUCUUAGACAAUGGGGGCAACCCUGAUCUAGCCAUGCCGCGUGAGUGAUGAAGGCCUUAGGGUUGUAAAGCUCUUUCAGCUGGGAAGAUAAUGACGGUACCAGCAGAAGAAGCCCCGGCUAACUCCGUG
RNAcentral lists this ribosomal RNA (432 nucleotides) under uncultured bacterium. Its description in RNAcentral is "partial 16S ribosomal RNA". It matches the Rfam family "Bacterial small subunit ribosomal RNA", at positions 29 to 507 of the family's 1533-position model. The record is from RNAcentral.